Molecule: ribosomal RNA, 440 nt
Filed under: uncultured bacterium
Lineage: Bacteria
Description: partial 16S ribosomal RNA
Rfam family: Bacterial small subunit ribosomal RNA
Source: RNAcentral
CCUACGGGGGGCAGCAGUGGGGGAUAUUGCACAAUGGGGGGAACCCUGAUGCAGCGACGCCGCGUGGAUGAAGAAGCGCCUCGGCGCGUAAAGCCCUGUCAGCAGGGAAGAAAAUGACGGUACCUGAAGAAGAAGCCCCGGCUAACUACGUGCCAGCAGCCGCGGUACUACGGAGGGGGCAAGCGUUAUCCGGAUUUACUGGGUGUAAAGGGGGCGCAGGCGGCAUUGCAAGCCAGCAGUGAAAGGCCGGGGCCCAACCCCGGGACUGCUCUGGGAACUGGGUGGCUGGAGUGCAGGAGGGGCAGGCGGAAUUCGUGGUGUAGCGGUGAAAUGCUUAGAUAUCAGGAGGAACCCCGGUGGCGAAGGCGGCCUGCUGGACUGCAACUGACGUUGAGGCCCGAAAGCGUGGGGAGCGAACAGGAUUAGAUACCCGAGUAGUC